UGUGCCUUGAUACUAUCCCACGU
Molecule: microRNA, 23 nt
Filed under: Tribolium castaneum (red flour beetle)
Lineage: Eukaryota; Metazoa; Arthropoda; Insecta; Coleoptera; Tenebrionidae
Description: tca-miR-3857-5p
Source: miRBase by way of RNAcentral